CAGUCGCCGCGGUAAUACGUAGGUCCCGAGCGUUGUCCGGAUUUAUUGGGCGUAAAGCGAGCGCAGGCGGUUAGAUAAGUCUGAAGUUAAAGGCUGUGGCUUAACCAUAGUACGCUUUGGAAACUGUUUAACUUGAGUGCAAGAGGGGAGAAUGGAAUUCCAUGUGUAGCGGUGAAAUGCGUAGAUAUAUGGAGGAACACCGGUGGCGAAAGCGGCUCUCUGGCUUGUAACUGACGCUGAGGAGCGAAAGCGUGGGGAGCGAACAGGAUUAGAUACCCGCGUAGUCCCUGUCUCUUAUACA
RNAcentral lists this ribosomal RNA (301 nucleotides) under uncultured bacterium. RNAcentral describes it as "partial 16S ribosomal RNA". It matches the Rfam family "Bacterial small subunit ribosomal RNA", at positions 509 to 808 of the family's 1533-position model. The record is from RNAcentral.